RNAcentral lists this ribosomal RNA (370 nucleotides) under uncultured bacterium. RNAcentral describes it as "bacterial SSU rRNA". It matches the Rfam family "Bacterial small subunit ribosomal RNA", at positions 525 to 896 of the family's 1533-position model. The record is from RNAcentral.
ACGGAGGGGGCAAACGUUGUUCGGAUUUAUUGGGUGUAAAGGGUGUGUAGGCGGGCUUGUAAGUCGGAUGUGAAAUACUUUAGCUUAACUAAAGAACUGCAUUCGAAACUGCUUGUCUUGAGUUUGGGAGAGGAGAAUGGAAUUCUCGGUGUAAGGGUGAAAUCUGUAGAUAUCGAGAGGAACACCAGUGGCGAAAGCGGUUCUCUGGACCAAAACUGACGCUGAAACACGAAAGCUAGGGGAGCAAACAGGAUUAGAUACCCUGGUAGUCCUAGCCGUAAACGAUGAUCACUUGGUGUGGGGUCCUUAGGGCUCCAUGCCGAAGUUAACACAUUAAGUGAUCCACCUGGGGACUACGGCCGCAAGGUUG